Molecule: ribosomal RNA, 391 nt
Filed under: uncultured bacterium
Lineage: Bacteria
Description: bacterial SSU rRNA
Rfam family: Bacterial small subunit ribosomal RNA
Source: RNAcentral
UCGGGAAUUUUGGGCAAUGGGCGAAAGCCUGACCCAGCAACGCCGCGUGAGGGAUGAAGUAUUUCGGUAUGUAAACCUCGAAAGAAUGGGAAGAAUAAAUGACGGUACCAUUUAUAAGCUCCGUCUAACUACGUGCCAGCAGCCGCGGUAAUACGUAGGGAGCAAGCGUUGCUCGGAUUUACUGGGCGUAAAGGUCGCGUAGGCGGCGCGGUAAGUCACUUGUGAAAUCUCUGAGCUUAACUCAGAACGGCCAAGUGAUACUGCUGUGCUAGAGUGCGGAAGAGGCAACCGGAAUUCUUGGUGUAGCGGUGAAAUGCGUAAAUAUCAAGAGGAACACCUGAGGAGAAGGCGGGUUGCUGGGCCGACACUGACGCUGAUGCGCGAAAGCCAG